GGCACCUUUAUUAGAUAAGGACACUAAUUAUAGUGAGGUGGAGCAUUACUCAUUUACAUACUUCUGAGGAAACAAGAACAGCGACGUGUCUGAACUGAUAAAAGUUUAAAAGCUAAAGCCAAGCCAGGAAGAGGAAGACAAGAUGAGGAACCCCAAAUCAAGAACUGCAAGCUGAUUUUUGGGCUCAUCCAUUAAUUUUGUUGUGUUUGGAAAGAUGCAGGAUGCGGCGUCUCACCUGAGAGAGAAUCUUCCAUAUUUCUUUCUGAAAAUAUUGAAGUUUACAGUGGAGAUUUCCAGAAGCUACAUGACAUAUGAUACCACUACAGAUGAAUGCAGAAGAUAUGAGAAUCCAGAUGUCUUCUGUUAAGCCAGACAUUAAAGGGAUUUGCAAAAAUGUGAAACAACGCUACUUUUCUCACUAAUUUGACUGUGUUUUGGAAAGCAUGACAAAUUUUUACAAAUAUAUUACUUGUGAUUUAAAAUACUACCUCUCACCUCAAAAUUGAAUAGCUGUCACAUUUCUUCUUGCAUCUCAGAAUUUCAACUUUUAAUAUUUAGUUUUAGUAAAUUUGUAAUUUAUUUUGCUAUGUGGUAUGAGUUAGGGA
Cervus elaphus (red deer) is the source of this 605-nucleotide long non-coding RNA. RefSeq lists it as uncharacterized. The record is from RefSeq and is a predicted model, not a curated record. Lineage: Eukaryota; Metazoa; Chordata; Mammalia; Artiodactyla; Cervidae. The transcript has 5 exons.